This 2342-nucleotide long non-coding RNA is filed under the name Homo sapiens (human). RNAcentral describes it as "PREDICTED lncRNA (TCONS_00151646)". The stretch from base 351 to 478 matches the Rfam family "ZEB2 antisense RNA 1 conserved region 1". Lineage: Eukaryota; Metazoa; Chordata; Mammalia; Primates; Hominidae. The record is from RNAcentral.
CCACUUUGACAAUAUUUACUUAAGUAUUUCCCCCCACCUCACUCACACACAUGCUCCCCCACACUGGUUCCCUUAAAUAGUUCCAGUAGAAUUUUUUUUUUCCCUUAAGAAAGGAAAGAGAAAGUCCAACCACUACGGCAAUACUUUUAAGCUCUACUAAAUGAUCGUAUCCUUUCUGGCUUCGAAACUUUUGUACCUAAAAAUCGAGAGAGGCGCUGCAUUUUUUCAGUUGAAACUGUCAAAACUUGGAGAAGGGGGACCUCGGAGGCAGGCAGGAGAGGAGGAGAAUCCUGAAAACUCGGUGGAGGUUGGGAAGAUGCUGUGCCUCGAGGAUUAGUUUAAACAGGGGGCUAUAAAAGAUGUAACAGAUGCAAACUGUAACACAAGGGCCAUUAACCCUUUCUCUGCCGGGCACACUCAGUCCCCACGCCCCACACCUAUUGUCUCCUGUGCUAGAAGCUUUGCAGAAAACCUGGAAAGUAUUUGCCAAGUCCUAAUUGCUGAAUAUAAUGAAUUGGAACUAGAUGCGAAAAUAGAGCAGGACCUCUCCCCUUGAUGAGUUUUUAUUCCAGCCAUAUAAUUCUCAAUAAAACUUUUCCUGGGCUGGAUAGCAAAGGACACCUUUGGUUACCUGAAUGAACAGGUACAGGGGAAAUUAUUUGGGGGAGGGAAAAAGGAGAGAAAAGCAAGGAGAGAGAGUGUGAGUGUAAGAGAAAGCGAAGAAGCCACUCUUGAGAAAAGCUUGCCAUAAAGGAGCUAAACCCACCUGAAAUUCCUACCCACGGACACCCCUUCUCACUUCAGACUCACAUCCCCACUCAAAAUGAGAAAAUUAGAAAAGGAGGAUGGAGGACGAGCACACCAAAAAGGGAUAAAAAGAGAGAAAAGGGGAGGAAAAAAAACCUACCUGCGAAGUCUUGUUUGUAGUUUUGGCCAGAAAUGGUGAGAAGAAAAAGCAUGAAGAAGCCGCGAAGUGUGGGGGAGAAAAAGGUGGAAGCGAAGAAACAGCUCCCGGAGCAAACUGUACAAAAACCUCGCCAAGAGUGUCGGGAGGCAGGACCGUUAUUCCUGCAGAGCAGGAGAGAGACGAGAGACCCUGAAACACGCGCCACCUAUCUUUGUGGGGAGGGAUAAUUGAAGCGCCCUGAGCGUGAGCAUCAUGUGAAAACGUGAUCGCCAAGUUUCUCUCUGGGAAAGGAUCUGGGAUAGAUUAUACCUUGAAGUCUCCGCAAACGCUUUAGUGGAAGAAAUGAAAUUCCACCUCCCUCCCUUCCUCCUCUCCCUCCCUUUCGCCUUCGCCUCCCUCCCCCCUCCCUCCCUUCUCCCCCCCUCCACCCCCCCCUCCCCGCCCGUCAAGCCUUUGGCAUCAUUAUCCUCAUCACUAAAUCCUACAGAGUACAGGGCGGAAAACGGUGCACACCAUUCACAGAACUGGAGAACUCCAAGGGGCGAAAGUUAAAGGGAAAGAUCCCGGGUCCUCAAUCCAGAUAGUCUCUUCUUAUACAGAUAUCUCUAAUGACCAGAUUUGAGAUGCACAUCAAAUUGUGUAGGUAUCUCAGUACAGCUUCUGGAACAAAGUUCUCUGCCCUUUCUCUUAUUGUUAUUUUUUUCUUUUUAGGUACCAGAGCCAGAAAAAAAAAUGCUGCAUGGGAGCUGCAUCUUAGGGCAUGUGUAUUAGGGUGUGUGCAUGAUGAAUUUCUGGACUGGAUCCCAAUAUUAAAAAGUAGUUUGGCAUUUUAAUAAAGGGUCUCUAAGUAAAUUAAAAUAGAACACUCGGUUGGCCGAUCUCUGAAUCUCUCUACACCUCGGGGAGACCUCACUACAAAGUAAGGGAGAGUGUGUAGGGAGGCAGGAGGAGAAACGAGAAAGGCCAUAGAGAAACUUAGCAGGGAAGGGAGAGCAUGAUAUUAAACGGCAUGGGGUCUAAGUUUUGGAGUAUAUAUUUUUUGAUAUUACAAUUAAAGUAAGAUUAAAAAGAAAAGACUCCACCUUUGCUCUGAAGGGAUUGGUUAUGCAAAUAUGGAAGGGAUUUCCUGGAGAAUACAGCUUUCUACUGUAUGGUUAAUUAAAUAAUCACUCAAAAGCUUCCAACGUGACGCUUCUGUCGUAAUCCAAUCAGGUUACAUAGGUCCUAAACAAGAAAGAUAUUUUCCACAUCUGGAAGUCAGCAAUUUAGCAAGUACUGCACAUUAUUAACCAAUUCAGAGCCCACUUCCCAGGGGAAUUUUUUUGAAGUUUAAGUGUUCUUAACCAAUGCUCUGCUGUUUUGUUAAUCAAAAAGCUGGUUUACACUGCACAUAAUUGGAACUAAUAUAGAAGUAAAUAAAGACAGCCAAAUUUGA